This 80-nucleotide transfer RNA is filed under the name Streptococcus sp. Its description in RNAcentral is "tRNA-Tyr". It matches the Rfam family "tRNA". Rfam says of the family: Transfer RNA (tRNA) molecules are approximately 80 nucleotides in length. Lineage: Bacteria; Bacillati; Bacillota; Bacilli; Lactobacillales; Streptococcaceae. The record is from RNAcentral.
GGGGGAAUCGCAUAGUGGCAAUUGCAGUGGACUGUAAAUCCACCCCGUAAGGUUCGUAGGGUCGAGUCCUGCUUCCCCCA